This 303-nucleotide long non-coding RNA is filed under the name Homo sapiens (human). RNAcentral's name for it is "non-protein coding lnc-IARS2-3:1". Lineage: Eukaryota; Metazoa; Chordata; Mammalia; Primates; Hominidae. The record is from RNAcentral.
AAGUGGGUGUUCAGAGAGUCUCGCUCCUGGAACGCAGGUGAGUGGAGUCCCCGAAGAUCCGCACAAAAUAGCCCAGCCAGUUCCAGCAAUUAUGAAAAAGUCCAGGCUCUCAGACCGCUGACCCUGAUAAGUAGAAGUCCUUGGUGCCACCUGGUAUUCCAGUGGCUCAGUCCAUGUGCAUCAUCACGAGUAGGAUCCAGCUUGCUGCUGAAAAGGCCUCUGUCCCGUUUGUGGAUAAGACAGUGCAGCCCAACCAUGGGACAGCUUUAGGAGGCAAAAGCUGAAGAUGGAUUUUUUGUACCU